CUGGGAAACUGGGUCUAAUACCGGAUAGGACCAUCGUUUAGUGUCGGUGGUGGAAAGUUUUUCGGUGCAGGAUGAGCUCGCGGCCUAUCAGCUUGUUGGUGGGGUAAUGGCCUACCAAGGCGUCGACGGGUAGCCGGCCUGAGAGGGUGGACGGCCACAUUGGGACUGAGACACGGCCCAGACUCCUACGGGAGGCAGCAGUGGGGAAUAUUGCACUAUGAGGGCAAGCCUGAUGCAGCGACGCCGCGUGGGGGA
RNAcentral lists this ribosomal RNA (255 nucleotides) under uncultured bacterium. RNAcentral's name for it is "partial 16S ribosomal RNA". It matches the Rfam family "Bacterial small subunit ribosomal RNA", at positions 149 to 408 of the family's 1533-position model. The record is from RNAcentral.